GUGGGGAUCUGAGCCCCAAAAGUGGGGACCUGAGCCUAAAAAUUGGGGAUCUGAGCCUAAAAAGGGGCGAUCUGAGCCCAAAAAGUGGGGACCUGAGCCCAAAACGUGGGGACCUGAUCCCAAAAAGUGGGGACCUGAGCCCAAAAACUGGGUUUUUGGCCCCAAACGUGCGGACCUGAGCCCAGAAAGCGGGGACCUGAGCCCAAAACGUGGGGAUUUAAGCCCAGAUAGCGGGGACCUGAGCCCAGAAAUCGGGUUUUUGGCCCCAAACGUGGGGAUUUAAGCCCAGAUAGCGGGGAUUUAAGCCCCAAAAACGGGGACCUGCAACCAGAAAUCGGGUUUUUGGCCCUAAACGUGGGGACCUGAGCCCAAAACGUGGGGACCUGAGCCCCAAAAGUGGGAAUCUGAGCCCCAAACGUGGGGA
This 424-nucleotide long non-coding RNA is filed under the name Phasianus colchicus (ring-necked pheasant). Its description in RNAcentral is "lncRNA (ENSPCLG00000013457.1)". The record is from RNAcentral. Lineage: Eukaryota; Metazoa; Chordata; Aves; Galliformes; Phasianidae.